CUCCGUUUCACAAUGUAAGUCAUUCUAGCAUUUCCCACAUUCAUGUUGAUGUUAAUGAAUCUAUAUAGAUAUAUAUGUCUAGAUUCAUUCACAUCAAUAUGAAUGUGGGAAAUGCUAAAAUGACUUGCAUUGUGAAACAG
RNAcentral lists this unclassified non-coding RNA (140 nucleotides) under Oryza sativa (Asian cultivated rice). Its description in RNAcentral is "partial microRNA MIR455b-21 precursor". The record is from RNAcentral. Lineage: Eukaryota; Viridiplantae; Streptophyta; Magnoliopsida; Poales; Poaceae.